UUGGUUAUGCUAGAAAGAGCGCAGGGUGGAUGCCUUGGCACUAAGAGCCGAUGAAAGACGUGAUAAGCUGCGAAAAGCUUCGGGGAGGAGCAAAUAUCCAACGAUCCGGAGAUCUCUGAAUGGGGAAACCCACAUGAGGAAACCUCAUGUAUCCAUAACUGAAUCCAUAGGUUAUGGAGGGGAACCCGGUGAACUGAAACAUCUAAGUAGCCGGAGGAAGAGAAAGAAACAUCGAUUCCGGGAGUAGCGGCGAGCGAAACCGGAAGAGCCCAAACCAGCGUGCGUGCAUGCUGGGGUUCGGACCGCGGAAGUGAUCCAACGAGUUUAGCAGAAUGGUUUUGGGAAAGCCAGCCAGAGAGGGUGAAAGCCCCGUAAGCGAAAGACGAGUUGGCACGGCGGGAUCCAGAGUACUACGAGACACGAGAAACCUUGUAGGAAGGAGCGGGGACCACCCCGUAAGGCUAAAUACUCCUUAGUGACCGAUAGCGCAUAGUACUGUGAAGGAAAGGUGAAAAGGACCCCGGGAGGGGAGUGAAAGAGAACCUGAAACCCUGUGUUUACAAGCUGUGGAACAUCUAUAGAGAGAUGGACCGCGUACUUUUUGUAGAACGGUCCGGCGAGUUACGCUGGCUGGCGAGGUUAAGGACUGAAGGUCCGGAGCCGAAGGGAAACCAAGUCUGAACAGGGCGAGAAAGUCAGUCAGAGUAGACCCGAAACCGGGUGAUCUAUCCAUGUCCAGGUUGAAGUUGCCGUAAAAGGCAAUGGAGGACCGAACCCACAUCCGUUGAAAAGGGUGGGGAUGAGGUGUGGAUAGGGGAGAAAUUCCAAUCGAACCCGGAGAUAGCUGGUUCUCCUCGAAAUAGCUUUAGGGCUAGCCUCGAUAGAGUCUGAUGGAGGUAGAGCACUGAAUUUCCUAGGGGGCGUCAAAGCUUACCGAAGAAUAUCAAACUCCGAAUGCCAUUGAGAUGCUUAUCGGGAGUCAGACUACACGAGAUAAGUUGGGUAGUCAAAAGGGAAAGAGCCCAGACCUGCAGCUAAGGUCCCAAAGUGUGUGUUAAGUGGAAAAGGAUGUGGGAUUUCGAAGACAACUAGGAUGUUGGCUUAGAAGCAGCCAUCCAUUAAAAGAGUGCGUAAUAGCUCACUAGUCGAGAGGUCCUGCGCCGAAAAUGUCCGGGGCUGAAACACACCACCGAAGCUCAGGAAUGCGGGGUUAUUGAACUUGUUCAAUAACAUACACCCGCAUUGGUAGAGGAGCAUUGCAUACGGGAAGAAGCAGUACCGGAAGGAGCUGUGGACUGUAUGGAAGAGAGAAUGCCGGAAUGAGUAGCGAGAGGAAGGUGGGAAUCCUUCCGGCCGAAUAUCUAAGGUUUCCAGGGUAAAGCUGAUCUGCCCUGGGUAAGUCGGGGCCUAAGGCGAGGCCGA
RNAcentral lists this ribosomal RNA (1422 nucleotides) under Drancourtella sp. An177. RNAcentral's name for it is "bacterial LSU rRNA". It matches the Rfam family "Bacterial large subunit ribosomal RNA", at positions 1 to 1405 of the family's 2925-position model. RNAcentral also lists the same sequence under 1 other name. The record is from RNAcentral. Lineage: Bacteria; Bacillati; Bacillota; Clostridia; Eubacteriales; Oscillospiraceae.